GCACGUAGUUAGCCGAGACUUAUUCCUGAGAUACUGUCCUUUCUCAUCUCUCAGAAAAGUGCUUUACGACCCGAAGGCCUUCAUCGCACACGCGGCGUUGCUGCAUCAGGCUUUCGCCCAUUGUGCAAUAUUCCCUACUGCUGCCACCCGUAGGUGUAUGGACCGUGUUUCAGUUCCAUUGUGGGGGGUCACCCUCUCAGGUCCCCUACCCGUCGUCGCCCUGGUGAGCCGUUACCUCACCAACUAGCUGAUGGGACGCAGGUCCCUCCCAAAGCGAAUUGCUCCUUUAGUCAUCAGUUUCUAAACCUGAAGACCACAUGCGGUAUUAGCAAUCCUUUCGGACUGUUAUCCCACACUUUGGGGUAGGUCACCAACGCGUUACUCACCCGUUCGCCACUAGGAUACUCUCGUAUUGCUACAAAAGCACCUCGUUCGACUUGCAUGUAUUAGGCACGCCGCCAGCGUUCAUC
RNAcentral lists this ribosomal RNA (470 nucleotides) under uncultured bacterium. RNAcentral describes it as "partial 16S rRNA". The record is from RNAcentral.